RNAcentral lists this ribosomal RNA (374 nucleotides) under uncultured bacterium. RNAcentral's name for it is "bacterial SSU rRNA". It matches the Rfam family "Bacterial small subunit ribosomal RNA", at positions 29 to 430 of the family's 1533-position model. The record is from RNAcentral.
AACGAACGCUGGCGGCAUGCCUAACACAUGCAAGUCGAACGAACCCUUCGGGGUUAGUGGCGCACGGAUGCGUAACACGUGGGAAUCUGCCCUUUGCUUCGGAAUAACAGUUAGAAAUGACUGCUAAUACCGGAUGAUGUCGUAAGACCAAAGAUUUAUCGGCAAAGGAUGAGCCCGCGUAGGAUUAGGUAGUUGGUGGGGUAAAGGCCUACCAAGCCGACGAUCCUUAGCUGGUCUGAGAGGAUGAUCAGCCACACUGGGACUGAGACACGGCCCAGACUCCUACGGGAGGCAGCAGUGGGGAAUAUUGGACAAUGGGCGAAAGCCUGAUCCAGCAAUGCCGCGUGAGUGAUGAAGGCCUUCGGUUGGUAAAG